Molecule: long non-coding RNA, 1446 nt
Filed under: Struthio camelus australis
Lineage: Eukaryota; Metazoa; Chordata; Aves; Struthioniformes; Struthionidae
Description: lncRNA (ENSSCUG00000004890.1)
Source: RNAcentral
AAACCUGCUUGCACCUUUAUAAAUGGAUACAGCAAGAAUAGCUGAAAGCUAAAAUUUUGAAAUCUGCUGUUUUCUCUCCAUGGGAGAAGGGGAAGUUGCCAUCACGGCAGACAAAGCACAAGCAUGGUCGUAAGCUGGGUGAGUUCCUCUCCUGGAAGGCAAAAAGCUUCAGGGAGAUAAAGGUAAGAAAGUGCUCUCUGCAGUUACUCAUUGCCCCCACCUUUUCUCAGGGAGCCCUUCUUGCUGCUGAUAUAGAAAUGGGUGGGGGAAGAAGACGGAAGAAGGAUGGGGGAAGAAGGAUGUUGCUCUAUGAUUAUUGUUUCAGUCUGGGUGAACAUGUGAUGAGACAUGAGACUUGUCCAUUGUGGUACUUGAUGCCAAGCCUGAGCUCGGGCCUGACUGCUUUAAAAGCUUGUUUGUAUAGAGACAGCCACAAACAGAAUUAGGUUCUUCUCUUACAUCCCACAGUUGCGGCUGUGGGAAAGGCAGUGGUAAUGCCACAUUUUCUGUGAUUUUCCUAGUGGUGGGAUCAGCAAGAAGCAGAAAGCCAAGGGUUAAUUUCCUCCUUGGCUGAAAAGGAGUCAAAGACUUGCCUGUCAAGAUAGUGCCUCACCACUGUUCAAAUUUUUGAGUGGAGAAAGUCCUCAUCUCUCCUGGACCAAAAAUGGAGGAAUGGACUAUAAAGCCCACAUGGCCAGGGAGAAUUUGCAUGAUAGGCUGCAUUAUGCUUCACGUUUUUAGCCUUCACCUGGCGACCCUCAUACCUGAGAGUAACUAGAUCUAUUCAAACACUGCAGCUUCUCCUAGAAAUUGCUGCAGACCCUGCAAAACCGUGUAGCUGGCACAGGCUUACACAGUAAGACCUAAGCCCUCAUAGGUGAUUCCAAUGAUUGUAAGACACCAAAACAACUUCAGGAGCUGAAGUUUCAUGAAAGGAAGAAUAGGUUAUUGACCUGAUUUCUGAGGACGUAUUGACACUGAAAGAUGCAUAAGGAAACCUGGCGGCUUCCUCACAACCUCUUAGGUACCUAGAUCUAGUAAAGCCCAUGGGAGCCUAAUGCAUGGGGUAUUUUUAAGUUUUUGUUAGGUGUCCCUCUACUUCUCUAAGCAAGAUCUUCUGAUGUAUUCUGAUGCCUGGCUGCUUUUUAAAUUUGUGCCAAUUAGAUGCCUGAAUACUUUCAGAAAUCUGGUCUCUACCUUUCUGAGAAGUGGGAAUUAAGUAUGUUUCCCACAACUUACACCAUUGCAGUUUAGUCAUCACCAAUAAUUGUGGAAACCUAAAUACUCUACCAAAUCUGAUCUCAGAAGACCCCAAAAACUGAUUUUGUACCUCCGUUUGAUCCUAACUUUCAGUUAAUAUUGGUGCAGUCUCCUUUAAAAAGAUUGUAAGUAUUUACCAACAUAGUCACUGAAAAGCCAUUUAUAAUUUAUAUAGGUAGUUGCAAG